UACGGGGGGGGCAAGCGUUGUUCGGAAUUACUGGGCGUAAAGGGCGCGUAGGCGGCCUUCUAAGUCGAACGUGAAAUCCCCGGGCUCAACCCGGGAACUGCGUCCGAUACUGGAAGGCUUGAAUCCGGGAGAGGGAUGUGGAAUUCCCGGUGUAGCGGUGAAAUGUGUAGAGAUCGGGAGGAACACCGGUGGCGAAGGCGGGACUCUGGGCCUACCCUGACGCUGAGGCGCGAAGGCGUGGGGAGCAAACGGG
This 253-nucleotide ribosomal RNA is filed under the name uncultured bacterium. RNAcentral's name for it is "partial 16S ribosomal RNA". It matches the Rfam family "Bacterial small subunit ribosomal RNA", at positions 524 to 776 of the family's 1533-position model. The record is from RNAcentral.